CGAAGGGGGCGAGCGUUGUUCGGAAUUACUGGGCUUAAAGCGUGCGUAGGCGGAUCAGCAAGUUGGGAGUGAAAUCCCCGGGCUUAACCCGGGAAUUGCUUUCAAAACUGCUAGUCUAGAAUCCGGUAGAGGUUAAUGGAAUAUCCAGUGUAGAGGUGAAAUUCGCAGAUAUUGGAUGGAACACCAGUGGCGAAGGCGAUUAACUGGGCCGGUAUUGACGCUGAGGUACGAAAGCGUGGGUAGCAAACAGGAUUAGAUACCCUGGUAGUCCACGCUGUAAACUAUGUGUGCUAGCUGUCGGAGUCCUUAGGGCUUCGGCGGCGGAGAGAAAUCAUUAAGCACACCGCCUGGGGAGUACGGCCGCAAGGUUA
Molecule: ribosomal RNA, 371 nt
Filed under: uncultured organism
Description: bacterial SSU rRNA
Rfam family: Bacterial small subunit ribosomal RNA
Source: RNAcentral